UAUUCAAAUGAGAACUUUGAAGACUGAAGUGGAGAAAGGUUCCACGUGAACAGCAAUUGGACGUGGGUUAGUCGAUCCUAAGAGAUAGGAGAAAUCCGUUGCAAGGCGGGCGUUUCGGCGCCCCUUCUAUCGAAAGGGAAUCGGGUUAAUAUUCCCGAACCAGGACGUGGAUAAUGAGUGGCAACACAAGCGAAAUCGGGGACGUUGGCGGGAGCCCCGGGAAGAGUUCUCUUUUCUUCUUAACAGUUCAGUGGACCUUGGAAUCGGAUUGCCCGGCGAUAAGGUUCAGUGGCUGGGAAAGCGGCACACUUUUUGUGCCGUCCGGUGCGCUUCCGACGACCCGUGAAAACCCGGUGGCGUGACUUAUUCGCACCCCUGGUCGUACUCAUAACCGCCUCAGGUCUCCAAGGUGUGCAGCCUCUAGUCGAUAGAACAAUGUAGAUAAGGGAAGUCGGCAAAAUAGUUCCGUAACUUCGGGAAAAGG
This 484-nucleotide ribosomal RNA is filed under the name Tiarina fusus. RNAcentral describes it as "Tiarina fusa partial Eukaryotic large subunit ribosomal RNA". It matches the Rfam family "Eukaryotic large subunit ribosomal RNA", at positions 1468 to 1946 of the family's 3401-position model. Lineage: Eukaryota; Ciliophora; Prostomatea; Prorodontida; Colepidae. The record is from RNAcentral.